Molecule: long non-coding RNA, 3578 nt
Organism: Ostrea edulis (European flat oyster)
Lineage: Eukaryota; Metazoa; Mollusca; Bivalvia; Ostreida; Ostreidae
Exons: 6
Source: RefSeq, a predicted model, not a curated record
GGGCCGGAACGACCUGUUACCGUUAAUUUAUACCACUAAAAUCUACAAGAGUUGUCUUUCUUUAAGAAGCAGAAGACACUUGCUGUGAAAACGGAAAUGGCUGCCGAAUUCUGAAGAAAAGUUUAUUUUAGGGAUCUUUACAGGUAUACUUAGGAAAACUGACUGUCAGGUACAGUGCUAUUAGGAUGUUGUCCACUAAGCUAAUGAUGGGGAUUGUAGCACUACCCUGCACACAGACAUGGAAUGGAUUUGCCCAGUCCAUUAUCAGAAGAGUGACCAGGACUGUUCGUCCCAUCAGAGAAGUUUCUCGAGAAGCAUUACAAGGGACUUGUAUGAAUGGGCAGAAGAAUUUUAUUUAACUGACCACCCCAUCAUUGCCUGCUGUUGGAGACUGAACACUUUAUUGAAAAUUGCUGGGUGUAGCAAUCAGUGGGUGUCCUUAUUUGCCCUGAGAAGAGUCAGAGAACUCCCUGGGCCUCAUGAGAUGGUGACACUCUGCAGUAGCAGUUCCUACCGAUAUCUCUUAAAAGCAGACAGAGGUUCUCAUAGCAUCUGAUCCAUUUCUGGAGACAAACUUUUGUAUGGAGCUGGGUAGCAGUUACUUGAGAUGUCCGGCUGAUUGAUGAGGAUAAUUUCCCUGAGACUCUAACAUUCUGUAGGACUUGGAUAGCUCUAUUACUGUAGAAAAUGUCAGGACAGUGGAGAUUUAGAUAAGUGGUGUGAUGUUAUUGAUGGUAAACAGAAGACUGUGACCUUGAAUCUGAAGAUCUGUGAUGAAGACUGGACGUUUGCGGUCACUCUCUGUUACAGUACUACAAAUCUAAGUAAGUACUCAGUAAUAAUGUAAGACUGAACUCUGUAUCAUGUUUAUCUAAUAUAUACAUUGUAAAAUCAAACACAUAUUGAAUUAAUUCACAAACAAAAUAAUGUUCUGUUAAACUCUCAAAAACAAGUACAUGUUACACAUCACAAACAGAGGACUGUAAUGUACACAGGGCUGUAAUUAACACAGGGGUGUAAUUAACACAGGGCUGUAAUUAACAAGCUGAUGUAAUUAACAAGUAGAAGGAAUUAACACAGUUCUGUAAAUUACACUGUAGAGCCGUGUAAUUAACGCUGCAUAGAGCUGUGUAAUUAACACCGUAGAGCUGUGUAAUUAACACUGUGUAGAGCUGUGUAAUUAACACUGUAGAGCUGUGUUUAUAGAUAUUGGAUUGUCUUCACUUUAGCAGUGUCAUACUCAGCCACAAAGAGGUUGUCUCUGAUGUCCACACAUAAACCUAAUGGACGAUCUAAAUCACAGUGAAUGUAACGGAGGAACUGUCCGUCCUGAUCUAGGAUGUGGAUACGGUGAUUGUGAUGGUCUGCUGUCAGGAUGUGACUCUGGCUGUCUGUAGUGAUGCCGAAUGGAUUAAAUGAUUGCUUAGUAUUAGAGGGAUGACCAGUGUAUCUAAAUCGGAGUUUUCCUGACUGAUUGACCACCACUACUGCACUAGCUGACCGGUCAGCCACACAGAUAUCCAGGUUCUUGUUCUCACUGAGGUAUUUAAUGUCAUCAACAGAUGAGUAGAGAGGACGACCCUGAUCAUCAAACUGAAUGCUUUGUUUCUCUGUGGAGCCGGAGUAACGCACGACUUUGGAUUGUGUUUCAUCAUCACUGACCAUGGUAACCAGGAGGUCGUUACCCGCGGUACAGCAGACACGGAGAGGUCUCCACCCCUGUAGUGUGAUCACGGUCUGUAUCUGUUUAUUCUUUAUUAAGUUUAUAGUGUAGUUACUAUAGUCAGUAUAAACAAGAUCUCCGUCCCGUGUCACUGCUAUGUCUGUUGGUUCGUACCCUGACUUGGUUUGUAUUGAUGUCAGUAGUUUACUCUGGAGGUUGAGCAGCUUCAUGGUUUCGUUAUCCCCGCGUGUCCAGACUUGAUCUUCACUCAGACAGCUAACAUUGUGUAGAUAGUCAUACCCAGUGUCUAUGGUGGCGGUGACGCGCGGCUCAUCAAGCAGUGGUUUGACUGGAGGAGACGAUACAGCUUCUGCUGACUUCAUUGUGUAGCCUUGUUCUGUGUUAAUGGAUAAUGGCGGCAGAGAACCAAACAUUUCAUUGAGCUGAUCUUUGUUUAUUUUCUGAGGAGAUAAACUCGGUAAUGUGACUCGGACUUUAGGCGGUAAUGAUCUAAAUUCGGAAUUCCUAGAUUUGUAAGUAGAGGUUAAGGAGACGUCAUUUGAUUUUAGCAUUGAUUUCAAGUCCGAAAUGAUCUGUUUGAGUUCCGCCAUUUUCUGUGUGAUUUCUUCUGUAUUUUUAUUUAGCGCGUCCAGAUGUUUAGUUUUCAUCUCCCCAAUGGCGGAUUUCCGUCGGUUAACAAUGGCGGUGAUCUCCUGGUGUAGGAUUUCUCCUUUUUCAUCGGCAUCUGUCGUCAGUUUCCCGUAUUUCAUUUCUAAUUCUGCUUUCUCUGUUUCGACAUCAGACACCAUUCCUUCAUACCGGGGGUAAAUUCUGGUCUCGAGUUCUUCUAGAUCUUUUUGUAAACUUUCUGUUUUAGCGCUGAGUUUUUCCAGAAUAUCUGAUAUAUCGUGACCUUUGUGUUUACCUGAAGUGACGCAGGUAGAACAGACAGGAAUGCCACAUUUUUCACAGAACAUUUCGCAGUGUUUAUCGGUGUGUUUCGAACAUUUUGGGUAGCUAGGGGUAGGCUUUCUGUGUAAAAAGGGCACGACAUUGUGUCUUUUAGACGAGUCUGAGAGAUGCUUUACUGCACAGUUAACACAGAGAUUUAUAUUACAAAGUUCACAGUGACUCUGUAGGGGGACAGUUUCACAGAGGUCACACAGUAGGACUUCCUGAGCACUGCGCCGGGGAUGCAUUUCUAAUGGCGGGAUCACACGAGGAGUUUACUGUUAAUUAAAUAAAAACAGAAUUUUAUUUUUAAAUUAAAGAUUUUGACAGAUUACAACAAUUAACGAAAUAGAAUUAUAGUAUGAUAUAAAACACAGUGGUCAUUACUAUAAUAAUAAUUUAGUCUCACCUUAAAAUCCAACAUGGCCUCCCUGUUCUUUCGACCUUCCGUCUAGUCCUGAGAAUUAAAUACCUGUGCGGCGUGUCAGCCUGUAUACACUAUCUACGUGUUAUCGCUUGAGAAAAUACACAGUUUUAAAGUUUUGUUUGACCUAGUUUAUGUUGGGUAGUUUUGCUAACAUUUACGUCAGACGUAAAGCUUUCCUUGAUUAAAAAAUUCGAAUCUGCAAACAAUGUAUAGAUAUAACUUUUUUGAUUAUAUCCCUUUUUAUAUUGAAUUCGGCCUUUUGUACAAAUACAAUCAUAUUUAUAGCUAAAACAACGAUAAGCAAUAUUCAUAUUGGACGCAGGGAGGAGGGGGGGGGGGUUGCAGCGGACCACUGUUGGGGGGGGGGGGGGGGGAUUUCAUGCAGUGGACCUGUUUUGUACCAAUUACAUAUCUUUGUUUUGAUAUACUUAACAGCUUUUUUUUCUGUUGUAGAAUGAGUUGAGUGGAAUAAUGAACCUCCAGAUGUCUAUGUACACGUGUAUGAAUAAACUGUAGCGCAUGCGAGCUUAUCCUAUA